CCUACGGGUGGCAGCAGUGAGGAAUAUUGGUCAAUGGGCGCGAGCCUGAACCAGCCAAGUAGCGUGAGGGAGGACUGCCCUACGGGUUGUAAACUUCUUUUAUAAAGGAAUAAAGUGAGGCACGUGUGCCUUUUUGUGUGUACUUUAUGAAUAAGCAUCGGCUAACUCCGUGCCAGCAGCCGCGGUAAUACGGAGGAUCCGAGCGUUAUCCGGAUUUAUUGGGUUUAAAGGGAGCGUAGAUGGGUUGUUAAGUCAGUUGUGAAAGUUUGCGGCUCAACCGUAAAAUUGCAAUUGAUACUGGCAGCCUUGAGUACAGGUGAGGUAGGCGGAAUGCGUGGUGUAGCGGUGAAAUGCUUAGAUAUCACGAAGAACUCCGAUUGCGAAGGCAGCUUACUAACCUGCCACUGACAUUGAUGCUCGAAAGUGUGGGUAUCAAACAGGAUUAGAUACCCUGGUAGUC
This 460-nucleotide ribosomal RNA is filed under the name uncultured bacterium. RNAcentral describes it as "partial 16S ribosomal RNA". It matches the Rfam family "Bacterial small subunit ribosomal RNA", at positions 338 to 795 of the family's 1533-position model. The record is from RNAcentral.